GCCUUCGUGGUGUAGUGGUCAGCGCGCUGGACGCGUAACCGAGAGGUCCGUGGUUCGAUUCCCGGCGAAGGAG
Stegodyphus mimosarum is the source of this 73-nucleotide non-coding RNA. The record is from Rfam. NCBI's taxonomy places the organism in Eukaryota, Metazoa, Arthropoda, Arachnida, Araneae, Eresidae.